This 384-nucleotide ribosomal RNA is filed under the name Pseudoalteromonas-like bacterium S3C7. RNAcentral describes it as "bacterial SSU rRNA". It matches the Rfam family "Bacterial small subunit ribosomal RNA", at positions 594 to 982 of the family's 1533-position model. Lineage: Bacteria; Pseudomonadati; Pseudomonadota; Gammaproteobacteria. The record is from RNAcentral.
GUGAAGCCCCGGGCUCAACCUGGGAACUGCAUUUCGAACUGGCAACUAGAGUGUGAUAGAGGGUGGUAGAAUUUCAGGUGUAGCGGUGAAAUGCGUAGAGAUCUGAAGGAAUACCGAUGGCGAAGGCAGCCACCUGGGUCAACACUGACGCUCAUGUACGAAAGCGUGGGGAGCAAACAGGAUUAGAUAACCUGGUAGUCCACGCCGUAAACGAUGUCUACUAGAAGCUCGGAACCUCGGUUCUGUUUUUCAAANUAACGCAUUAAGUAGACCGCCUGGGGAGUACGGCCGCAAGGUUAAAACUCAAAUGAAUUGACGGGGGCCGCACAAGCGGUGGAGCAUGUGGUUUAAUUCGAUGCAACGCGAAGAACCUUACCUACACUU